GACGAACCGUGCGAACGUUGUUCGGAAUCACUGGGCUUAAAGGGCGCGUAGGCGGGUUCCCAAGUUCGGGGUGAAAUCUUUCGGCUUAACCGGAAAACAGCCUUGAAUACUGGGAGUCUCGAGCGAGGUAGGGGCAGCUGGAACUUCCGGUGGAGCGGUGAAAUGCGUUGAUAUCGGAAGGAACGCCGGUGGCGAAAGCGAGCUGCUGGACCUUUUCUGACGCUGAGGCGCGAAAGCCAGGGGAGCAAACGGGAUUAGAUACCCCGGUAGUCCUGGCCCUAAACGAUGAAUACUAGGUAGCGGACUGGACAUGGGUUCGCUGCCGAAGCAAAAGUGCUAAGUAUUCCGCCUGGGGAGUAUGGUCGCAAGGCUGAA
This 375-nucleotide ribosomal RNA is filed under the name uncultured bacterium. RNAcentral describes it as "bacterial SSU rRNA". It matches the Rfam family "Bacterial small subunit ribosomal RNA", at positions 524 to 898 of the family's 1533-position model. The record is from RNAcentral.